UACGAAGGGGGCUAGCGUUGCUCGGAAUCACUGGGCGUAAAGGGCGCGUAGGCGGCGUUUUAAGUCGGGGGUGAAAGCCUGUGGCUCAACCACAGAAUGGCCUUCGAUACUGGGACGCUUGAGUAUGGUAGAGGUUGGUGGAACUGCGAGUGUAGAGGUGAAAUUCGUAGAUAUUCGCAAGAACACCGGUGGCGAAGGCGGCCUUCUGGACAGUGACUGACGCUGAGACGCGAAAGCGUGGGGAGCAAACAGG
RNAcentral lists this ribosomal RNA (253 nucleotides) under uncultured bacterium. Its description in RNAcentral is "partial 16S ribosomal RNA". It matches the Rfam family "Bacterial small subunit ribosomal RNA", at positions 524 to 776 of the family's 1533-position model. The record is from RNAcentral.